RNAcentral lists this ribosomal RNA (187 nucleotides) under Listeria monocytogenes. RNAcentral's name for it is "partial 16S ribosomal RNA". It matches the Rfam family "Bacterial small subunit ribosomal RNA", at positions 1 to 179 of the family's 1533-position model. Lineage: Bacteria; Bacillati; Bacillota; Bacilli; Caryophanales; Listeriaceae. The record is from RNAcentral.
UAUUUUAAAGAGAGUUUGAUCCUGGCUCAGGACGAACGCUGGCGGCGUGCCUAAUACAUGCAAGUCGAACGAACGGAGGAAGAGCUUGCUCUUCCAAUGUUAGUGGCGGACGGGUGAGUAACACGUGGGCAGCAUGCCUGUAAGUUGGGGAGAACUCCGGGAAACCGGGGCUAAUACCGAAUGAUAA